GAUGAACGCUGGCGGCGUGCUUAAGACAUGCAAGUCGAACGAAGAGCUUGUAGCAAUACGGGCUCUGAGUGGCGAAUGGGUGCGUAACACGUAGGUGACCUGCCCUGAAGUGGGGGAAUAACAGUCCGAAAGGACUGCUAAUACCCCAUGUGGUCCUGGAGGUUAGAGGCUCCAGGUCUAAAGCAGCAAUGCGCUUCAGGAGGGGCCUGCGGCCCANCAGCUAGUUGGCAGGGUAACGGCCUACCAAGGCAACGACGGGUAGGGGACCUGA
RNAcentral lists this ribosomal RNA (271 nucleotides) under uncultured bacterium. RNAcentral's name for it is "partial 16S ribosomal RNA". It matches the Rfam family "Bacterial small subunit ribosomal RNA", at positions 28 to 295 of the family's 1533-position model. The record is from RNAcentral.